AUUGAACGCUGGCGGCAGGCCUAACACAUGCAAGUCGAACGAGUGGCGGACGGGUGAGUAAUGUCUGGGAAACUGCCUGAUGGAGGGGGAUAACUACUGGAAACGGUAGCUAAUACCGCAUACCAUCGGAUGUGCCCAGAUGGGAUUAGCUAGUAGGUGGGGUAACGGCUCACCGAGGCGACGAUCCCUAGCUGGUCUGAGAGGAUGAACAGCCACACUGGAACUGUGACACGGUCCAGACUCUUACGGGAGGAAGCAGUGGGGAAUAUUGCACAAUGGGCGCAAGCUGGAUGCAGCCAUGCCGCGUGUAUGAAGAAGGCCUUCGGGUUGUAAAGCCCUUUAAGCGGGGAGGCGUUACCCGCAGAAGAAGCACCGGCUAACUCCGUGCCAGCAGCCGCGGUAAUAC
This 406-nucleotide ribosomal RNA is filed under the name uncultured bacterium. RNAcentral's name for it is "partial 16S ribosomal RNA". It matches the Rfam family "Bacterial small subunit ribosomal RNA", at positions 30 to 526 of the family's 1533-position model. The record is from RNAcentral.